This is a long non-coding RNA of Solanum pennellii, 6524 nucleotides long. RefSeq lists it as uncharacterized. Lineage: Eukaryota; Viridiplantae; Streptophyta; Magnoliopsida; Solanales; Solanaceae. The record is from RefSeq and is a predicted model, not a curated record. The transcript has 14 exons.
UGUUCAUUCCCAUUUCAUGAAAACUAAAACUUUCCCCAUUCCCAUCUUUUUCUCUUAGAACUGAAAAGAGAGAUCAAGUUCUCCACAUCUACAGUGAGCGGUAAGCGAUAAAAUUAGGAAGUGUUGGAGGAUAUUCCGCAGCAUCUUCUCGCCCAUGUUCUGUUUGGAUAAAAUCAGCUAAGCACAAAUGCAAUAAGUUGCGUCUAUCCAAGCUUUGUUAGAGAAAAAUUAGGAUAUACAGGAACACACGUUUCUCUAUUACACAUUAUAAAAAGAUGAUAUGCACGUCUCUUGUUUGAUUGUAGAACAAAGAAAACGUCUUUUUGUUCUUGUAGCUUGUUGUGCUUUGUUUCAAUUGACAUUUUUCAAACCCUAACUUGGUGUUUCCAUCUCUUCAAGGUAUGAUUUAGUUAAUAUAACUAUGAAUUUCUUUGUGGAAUGCUUGAUUUUGUGCGAUUUUAGUUUUUUCUCAAGCUUAGGGUUUUUCCUUUUAUGGGUUUCAUCUGGAUUUUUUCAUUUUUUUGGGUGUUCUUGAACUUACAUGUUUUGUCUGCGAUUUCUCCACUUUACAUACUUUUUUCGAGUUAGAUGGUUGAUGGAGGAUCCACUUAUUGUCAUGUAGAACUUGAACCAAAGACUGAGUAGGAGCAUGAAAAAUAUCAAUAACAUAUGUACCUUAAAUUUCAAUUAUUAGUGGAUGUAAGUUGUUUAAGAAGGAAAGUUGAAGUUCGUAAAAGAGGCUGAGUAACUCGAACACUAAAUUAUUACCAACGAAAAUUAUAAAACAUUUCAUUUCUAGGCUUUGAGCAUAAGUUUUCAACUCUUGGCAAGAGGAAAAGCAAAAUGGAAAAAUUAUAGCCCGAACAUUUAGUUCUUUGUCUUUACGAAAUCACUACCAGUUCAAGCUUUAUAUCCCUGCUCCUCUAUUUUGUGUCGCUGCUUAGAAAUGAUAAUUGUACUAAAUUUUCAAUUGUUUUUGAGGAUUCCCUAUGACAACAAUUGUACCCUCUCUUUCUUUGUGUCUUAGCCGAUGGACUAUUUAAACUUGUAUUAUUAUCGUAACUUUAUAUCUUCUCUUAGUGACUACAAACUGAUAUGUGUUUCCUUAAAAAUAAAGUAUACAAAAUGUUGUUGGCCUGUUUUUGGAAAUGUAAAAAGUAUUGUUGCACCUGGAGUGUUGCCGACUUAGUUGUUGUUAGAAGCUCUUGUUAAGUGUUUAGCUAACAUGCUACUUUACAUGCUAAGUUGCUGCUUUAUUUGCUAACCUUCUACUUUACCUGCUAAGUUCCUACUUACCUGCUAACAUGCUACUUUAGUUACUACUUAUAGAUUUUUAGCUGCAACAGUAUAAUAAUAUGAUAUUUUCAGUAUCUUCUUUUCUUUAUUAUUAUAUAUAUAAUAGGAAAGUUCUUAAGAGUUGAGAAUUUAUUUAAUAGUGGCACGUGUUAAAAGAAGAAAUACAACCUUUCGUCGUUACUGCUUAACACUUCUCAGACAGAGAAAUAAGGGAGUGACUAACUCAGAUUAUCAGAGAACUGAUUUGUUGGAGAAAAAUUCGUAAAUAAGGACAGGAUUAUUGUGAUACAGUUAGCUCCAGGUAUCUUUUCAAGCUCUUAUAAUGGAAAUCAAUUCCCAUUCUUUCCAAAUUGCAGAAGUCAAGUUUUGUUUCUUACCUUAAAUUUCACCUUAUUUUUGUUGUUCUUUUGCUGUGUGUGAUAAUAAUUUCAUAUCUUCUUGGAGUUCCCUUCUUUUUGAAGUAUGUUCCUUUUGUUUUGAGUAUGAAUUGUUAGGUGGAAAUUCUUAUUUGCCCAAUUUUAUGUUUACUCUUUAUAAAUAAUCUAGUUUUUUCAGUAUGUUUUUGGUGUACAUGGUCUUAAAUUAUAUAUACUAGUCAUUGCAAGCAUAUGUUUGUGUGUACUUUCGGCAGUAGCAUCGAUUGACAAUAAAAGAAAUCACAACAAUGAUAAUUAUUGAAUAAACUUUUCAAUCUGAUAAUUUGUAGGACAAAAUUUUCAUUAUCCUUCACAAAUAUAACUCUACCUUAUAAUAUUAUACAAUUUUUUGUGUAAAUGUAGAGAAUAGGUUUCCUAAUUCUUGUUUUCUUUAUUUUUUUGUUGUUAUUCUGGUCCACAGUAGUUUUACCAUGAAUAUGGAUUCAAAAUACUAACUUUUGAAUAACCUCAAUAUUGUCCAACGACCUGACUGUUUAUGUAUAUUGCAUACAUUACUAUCUUUGCAAAGCAAUGUAGCAAGGAGGAAUUCUUGUAUCAUCUUUUUGCUAAAUCUAUCUUAACUUUAGUAGAGUAACUUACAAAAUAUUAUCUUUGUCACAUCUAAGCCUAAUGUUGGAAAUUGGGGCCUAGUCUUAUUGGUUUUGUUCUAUCUGUGUUGCUUUAUUACUUUAUGAGUAUUCUGUAUCUAAAAGUACAAGUAUACAUUGAGAUAUCUAAAAGUACAAGUAUACAUUGAGAUAUAACUCCUCUUUUUCUAAUUGAUGAAUCUGUAAUUGUGUCCUCAUGUGUUGAUACAGGAUUGAGUUUUUGAGCCUCUCUCAACUUUGUUAAUUAUGUAAAGAACUUGUUAACAUGUAACAUGUUAAUCAUGAAAUAAACAGUCCUUCUUCCCCUCACAUAAUAUAAGGAUUGAUAUUUUUGGUCCUACUGCGAAUAUUAGUAACUCAUUGAUUGUCUAAAUUAAGAAUUCUCCUCGCUUGAUUUGGAAGAUCUGAAAAAUUAUAAAUCUCAAACCUGCCAGUAGUGUCAAAAGACAUGUAGGCUAAAUAAUCUGCCCCGCAUAUUUCCUUCUCUGUAAGUUUCUUUAAGUUGAAUCCAACACAAUUGCGAUGCAUCCCAUGGAAUCUCCUAAACUUUAAUAAGGAUCAUAAUAACAUACUUGAUUCAUCCCAACAGUAGGCGAUGAGUGAUUUCCUCCCUUAUAGCUAUAACAUUCGCCUAUAAGUUUGUAUCACCUUGAGAAUGUAGUAAGUUCCUUGAACAAUAUCUUAAAGAGAAACCAUAAGUGCUUCGUUCGGGAAUUCUGCUUGAUGAACCAUCUUUGUUGCAUUGCAUAAGACCUAUCGUUAGAGGUUUCCAACUGACUACGAUAUAAUGAAUCCUUGAAGUAUGCUUUUCCAGAAAAUCUAUGAUAUUAGACCAAGUUGUAGGAAUAUGUAGUCCAGAAUAGAUGGUCCUCCCAUGUCUCCAUUAAUCUGAAUUUACUUUAAAAACUAGCUGUUGUUAGAAGAACUCUUUCCAUGCUUCAGCCUAUUUCUCCUUUUCCACAACUUUCAUAUCAUUAUGGCUGGGACAACUCUCAAUAGUGGGGCUUUUAUUUUGAACAACAAUAUGAUGUGCACCAUUUAUUGCAGACUUGUGAAAGUUGUAAACCCACUAUUUGAGUCCCUGUAAAAUUAGCAAACAACCUCCAUAUCUUAAUAGCUAUGGGGGAGGUUCGGAAGAUAUGACACAUAGUCUCAGUUGUAGGCUUAGCGCAACACUAACUUGUGAAUGUAUAUUGACUUGAUGUGUUUUAGGACAUCACUCACUGGAAUCAUAAAUCUCCAAGCUAUCCAUACGAAAAAAGACAUAUUAAAAAGGAAAACAAAAGACACAUUAAGUACUAUGCUGAAAUUGUGUUUUUGUUAUUUCAUUUAGCAUUGGAAAGACUAUGCUGAAAUUGUGUUUCUGUGAUUUCAUUUAGCUGGUUGAUUAUUUUGUGGUCUCUUUGUUUCAUUUCACAUUUUCUUUUCUAUGAAGUACAUCUCAUUUAGGCUUAUUUCUGUCUUGGUUGGUGUACACUUUGAUUUUUAAUUUUUUGGUAGUGCUUCUUGUUGUUGAAAGUGACUGCAAACCUACUCUUUUGAAGGCUCUAUGUUGAUUUGGUUUUUAAGAGAAUUUUCACAAAUUCACAAUGAGGCUUCUCAGCAAAGUUCAGACUUGGAGUGGAAUAAACAAUUCAUUAGUUGGUUACAAAAAAGAGUUGCAGAGUUGUACAAACAUGAUGAUAGUAAUAGAAUGGCAGAUUUGCUAUCGUUAUCACGUGGUCCUCUGCCAUAUGUGACAAGAUUCAAAUGACACAUUGUUAAUGGAUAUUGGUUUCAAGUGCAAUAGUAUGAAAAAUAUUUGAAAACUCAGAAUUAUGGGGUAGUUGUAGUAGGUGAGACUGGUGAAGAGCAAACACGUAUAAAUUACUAUGGCGAGUUAACCGAGGUUCUUGAAUUACAAUUUGUUGGGGAGAGGAGUGAAUUUAUUCCAAUGUACGUUGUUUGAUGUGCAUGAUCAAAAGAGGGAAGUUAAAAUGGAUGAAUAUGGCUUUGUAAGUGUUAAACAUCGGCGAUGUUUGAAGAUAAAUGAACCAUUUGUAUUAGCCUGCCAAACAUCACAAGUAUUUUAUGUUAUCGAUCAUUCGAAUAAAGGUUGGCAGAUAGUGCAAAAUGUUCAACCGUGUGAUUCAUUUGAUAUAUUGAAAAAAAAGAAUGAUGACUUAGAAGAGUUAGAUCACUCUACUCAAACGAAAAGAAAAAGAACUCAUUAAGGUUUACAUGAAUCCCUCUAUUAGGUUGACAUGAAUCCCUCAAAAACUCUGAAGUAUGAAAUGGGACAAGCUUCAAAAAUUCCCAAGCAUGGACUCAUUCAGCCUGGUGCUUUAGCAAAGGAUUAGAUCAAAGUUUGAAAUUUAUGAGCACUACAAGAGUUAAUGCUGAAAAAAGGACUUUGAUUGCCAAAAAUUGAAGUUACAAUGCCACAACUUCUAAGUCGAAUAAGCUAGCAGACAAUAGUUUCCAUGUACAUCCUCAUUUUGAUGAAAAGGAAGACAAUGCUCCCUUCAGUCAAGGAGUUCAAAUGAAUCUACAUACUUUGACUAGUGAUAAAAGGGCUCGAGGACAAAGCUUAUGGAUUAAUGUUGAAUAACCGAUUCUGAUUGGCAAAAAUAGAAGCACUACAACAACUUCUAGUCGAUACAAGGCAGGAAAGACUAGUAUCCCUGUGCCUCCUAAUUUUUAUCCAAUGGAAGACAAUGAUACCCUUUUUCAAGAAGCAGAAGUUACUCGAGAUGCUCAAAGAAGUGAUAAUUUUCAAAAGAGUGCUUUUGAAUUUGUUAAGUCAAAAAGAGUGAUAGGAGAGCCUCGAUCUGCUCAAAAAAGUGAUACUGGUCCGUUUGAAUCUAGAAGAGCAAAAAAAAGUUUUUGAAGUGGCUCAAGGUGCUAAGGAAACUUAAACGAGUCUUUUUGAAUUUGACAAGGCUAAAAAAGUGACUGAAGUGUCUCGGCAGUUAGAUUUGCAGGUUUAUUUGAAUCUAGAAAAGCAAAAGAAGUGGUUGAAAUGGUACAAGAUGUUGAGGGGAUUAAAACUAAUUUUUCAGGUCCAUGUGAAACAGAAAGGGCAAAGAACGUGAGGGGAACAAAUAUUUGUAAGAAUGUUUUUCGACUGAGACCUAGAGAAAAUUAAAAGUCACUUUCUAUCAAAAUCGAGUCGUCAGACAGAAUCACACCUCAUUUACGAGACAUUUGGGUUUGCUCGUUCGGGAUCAUAAUGUGUCCACUGCGGGUACACUCAUGGAUGCACAUCGAAGAGCAUAAACUCGAGCACAUGUGGGCAGUUGUUACUUGAUGACAUGAAUGAUUUAAGAGAUAAUGUUUUGCAACAUAUGAGAAAGCUUUGGAAUAACUCGAGAGGAUCACUGCACAAGAAUUUGAAAUCUAUAUCAUUGCGCGAUGUUCUUAAAGAAGUGCCGAAGGGAGUAGAUAAGAGUGACUGGGAAUGGUUGGUCAAGGAACAUUUUUUAUCUGAUAAAUUUAAGGAUGCAAGUACAAGAAACUCAAUCAAUAGGUCUAAGUUGUGUAUGCCUCAUCGUACGGGUAUCAAGCCUGUUAGAGAGAUUGUUUACGAAAUGGGAGGCAGAGAUGGUAAUCCACCAAACAUGGAAACUAUUUUCUUUGAGACAGGCUGAUAUUCAAUUCACCAGCUUGUACAAUCAGAACCAUCUCUUACUAAUAUUGAUGUAGUGGAAAGGUGUUUUGGACCACAAUGCAAAAGUCACGGAGUUUAAUUUGGUGGUGGAAUAACAACUAAGGAGUUAAAAGGAGGUACCACCUCAAAGGCUGCAUUGUGGGAAGAGCUUAAAACAACUCGAAAAGAAAAGGAAUCACUAAAAAAACUAAUGGAUAUUCUAGAGAGUAAAUAUGAACACCUUGAAAAUAUAGUGAUCCGUCAGUCUUCAUCAGUUCUAUUCAUUCCAUCAGAUUGAAGAUUUUGAAGAUUAAAGAAUGAGAUGUGAAAGAUAAUGUGGCGCGUGCGGAAAAGAAUAUUAUAUUUUAUUGUUGGUGCAGAGACAUUUUCUGUAGUUAUUCUAUAAUAUCAUUUUCUUAAUUUCUAACUAGGAUUUGAUAGAUGUCGAACACAUAUGUUUUAUUAUGUUCAACGUGUAUGCGUUUUUUUAGGUAUUGUGUUGAACAUAUAAGUAUUAAGUAGUUAAAUCAAUGUGUUCUUUAAUAUUAACAAUGUAAUAUUAUAUCAAAUUUUCAA